This 487-nucleotide ribosomal RNA is filed under the name uncultured bacterium. Its description in RNAcentral is "bacterial SSU rRNA". It matches the Rfam family "Bacterial small subunit ribosomal RNA", at positions 55 to 539 of the family's 1533-position model. The record is from RNAcentral.
AUGCAAGUCGAACGGUAACAUUUCUAGCUUGCUAGAAGAUGACGAGUGGCGGACGGGUGAGUAAUGCUUGGGAACUUGCCUUUGCGAGGGGGAUAACAGUUGGAAACGACUGCUAAUACCGCAUAAUGUCUUCGGACCAAACGGGGCUUCGGCUCCGGCGCAAAGAGAGGCCCAAGUGAGAUUAGCUAGUUGGUAAGGUAACGGCUUACCAAGGCGACGAUCUCUAGCUGUUCUGAGAGGAAGAUCAGCCACACUGGGACUGAGACACGGCCCAGACUCCUACGGGAGGCAGCAGUGGGGAAUAUUGCACAAUGGGGGAAACCCUGAUGCAGCCAUGCCGCGUGUGUGAAGAAGGCCUUCGGGUUGUAAAGCACUUUCAGUUGUGAGGAAAAGUUAGUAGUUAAUACCUGCUAGCCGUGACGUUAACAACAGAAGAAGCACCGGCUAACUCCGUGCCAGCAGCCGCGGUAAUACGGAGGGUGCGAGC